Molecule: non-coding RNA, 419 nt
Filed under: Thermobrachium celere DSM 8682
Lineage: Bacteria; Bacillati; Bacillota; Clostridia; Eubacteriales; Clostridiaceae
Description: Bacterial small subunit ribosomal RNA
Rfam family: Bacterial small subunit ribosomal RNA
Source: Rfam by way of RNAcentral
GAACAUGAGAGUUUGAUCCUGGCUCAGGACGAACGCUGGCGGCGUGCCUAACACAUGCAAGUCGAGCGGAGGGGAUAGGAGCUUGCUCCUUGAACCUUAGCGGCGGACGGGUGAGUAACACGUGGGUAACCUGCCCUUGAGAGGGGGAUAACAGGUCGAAAGGCCUGCUAAUACCGCAUAACGCUAAGAUGCCGCAUGGCGUCUUAGCCAAAGGUUAAUUCCGCUCAAGGAUGGGCCCGCGGCCCAUUAGCUAGUUGGUGAGGUAAUGGCUCACCAAGGCGACGAUGGGUAGCCGGCCUGAGAGGGUGGUCGGCCACACUGGGACUGAGACACGGCCCAGACUCCUACGGGAGGCAGCAGUGGGGAAUAUUGCGCAAUGGGGGGAAACCCUGACGCAGCGACGCCGCGUGAGCGAUGAA